ACAGUUACCAUGAGAUCCACCCUUGGGACAAACUUCCAAGCGCACAAUACAGCGUGGUGACUGCCUGUAGAGUCCUGACAUGGCCUGGAGGCCUCUUUCUCUCCCAACUCUGUCCCCAGGACUUUAGGCGAGCUGACAGUGAGGACCCAGAGAAAAUGACACCAUGUGACCCAGCCUCCUCCAAGACUUCCGGGGCGCAGGACGGGAAACAAGAGUGAUUAAAAACUGCCAUGUAGCCCGAACAGAGUUCAGCCAGAGUUUUCAUCCAGCAUGAAAGUCAUCAGAAUCCCAGAGCCCUCACCUAGCUGGGUGCACGCACAAGUGACAGCUUCAAGAGAUUGUUUGCCGUUGAAUGGAAAACGGCCAGCCUUGAUUAGACAUUGCCGCUCUGCCCAGGGGUGGCAAUACUUCGGAGCAUCCAUGCGGUGUGAAAGGCGCCUGCUGUACUUGGCCAUCGCCCUCGAGGGCCAGCUGGGGUGCUUGAGCAAAUGAGAAGCAUCCAGAGGGAUGCCUGGCAUCUCGCGGGCUCCAUCCAUAAGGGCUAAGAGGAAGUAAAUUUAGCUUGAC
This is a long non-coding RNA of Suricata suricatta (meerkat), 567 nucleotides long. Lineage: Eukaryota; Metazoa; Chordata; Mammalia; Carnivora; Herpestidae. The record is from Ensembl.